GAUCAUGGCUCAGGACGAACGCUGGCGGCGUGCCUAAUACAUGCAAGUAGAACGCUGAAGGAAGGAGCUUGCUCUUUCCGGAUGAGUUGCGAACGGGUGAGUAACGCGUAGGUAACCUGCCUGGUAGUGGGGGAUAACUAUUGGAAACGAUAGCUAAUACCGCAUAACAGUAGAUAUCGCAUGAUAGCUGCUUGAAAGGUGCAAUUGCACCACUACCAGAUGG
Molecule: ribosomal RNA, 223 nt
Filed under: uncultured bacterium
Lineage: Bacteria
Description: partial 16S ribosomal RNA
Rfam family: Bacterial small subunit ribosomal RNA
Source: RNAcentral